GGUAGGCGCGUCAUCUUCACGUUUCACGUCGUAGGUCAUGUUUAAAUCGUACGUGUAUUCUGGCCCGAAUCUCCAUUCCGAAGUGUUGUUAAUGACGACAUUGGCCGCUGAGCAAAGGGAAAAAGAUUUGCACAGAUGAAUGCGACAUUACAUGGUGCAUGUAUACAUUCGUAAAUUCAGUCGUACUUGGUGACUCUUACCGACCUAAGAAGAAUGGAAUCAGGACGACAUUCAUCCCACAGCAAGGUGUUUCGCUACACGCUACGCGUACACUAAUACCAAUCGUCUAACACCCGCAAGCUCCUUUAUAUCAGAACGUGCUUAAUGACAUAGUGUUUGAUAUCGCUUACGUACCAAUCUUAGAGGACGUUUUCACGGACGCAUUUGAUACAUGUGCAUAUACAUAUAUAUAAUAUGAUACAUGUACAAUAUGAUUGAUAAAGAUUUCAUUUUAUUAUUUUAACGCUUCAUGCUAACAAUUUAAUGAGAUUAUUAGGUAUAUAUAUUACAUAUAUUAGGCUAAAUUUGUCUUGUAUUACAUCUUUUAUUACACAAACACGAAUAGAAUACACGUGAAUAGGUGGGAUUUUAGUUUGAAUUCAUUUAUUAAGUUUAUCUUUAUUUAACUUGUCUAAUAAAAUACAUUUAUUACUUGAAA
Molecule: long non-coding RNA, 658 nt
Organism: Ooceraea biroi (clonal raider ant)
Lineage: Eukaryota; Metazoa; Arthropoda; Insecta; Hymenoptera; Formicidae
Source: RefSeq, a predicted model, not a curated record